GACGAACGCUGGCGGCGUGCUUAACACAUGCAAGUCGAACGGAAAGGCCUGCUUUCCCUUGUGGAUUGCGGGUACUCGAGUGGCGAACGGGUGAGUAACACGUGAGUGAUCUGCCCCCAACUUGGGUAUAAGCCUGGGAAACUGGGUCUAAUUCCCGAUAGGACUGCAGGGUGGUGCCUGUGGUGGAAAACGAUUUUCUAGUGGUUGGGGAUGAGCUCGCGGCCUAUCAGCUUGUUGGUGGGGUAAUGGCCUACCAAGGCGGCGACGGGUAGCCGGCCUGGGAGGGUGGACGGCCACAUUGGGACUGAGAUACGGCCCAGACUGCUACGGGAGGCAGCAGGGGGGAAUAUUGCACAAUGGGCGGAAGCCUGAUGCAGCGACGCCGCGUGGGGGAUGACGGCCUUCGGGUUGUAAACUCCUUUCGACCGCGAGGAAGCCACCUGGUUGGAAGGGUGGUGACGGUAGUGGUAGAAGAAGCACCGGCUAACUACGUG
RNAcentral lists this ribosomal RNA (494 nucleotides) under uncultured bacterium. RNAcentral describes it as "partial 16S ribosomal RNA". It matches the Rfam family "Bacterial small subunit ribosomal RNA", at positions 28 to 507 of the family's 1533-position model. The record is from RNAcentral.